This is a long non-coding RNA of Coccinella septempunctata (seven-spotted ladybird), 2035 nucleotides long. RefSeq lists it as uncharacterized. Lineage: Eukaryota; Metazoa; Arthropoda; Insecta; Coleoptera; Coccinellidae. The transcript has 2 exons. The record is from RefSeq and is a predicted model, not a curated record.
CAAUUCGGAAUGCCAUUAGAAGUCUACCAAUGUCAUACCGAAUUGAGGAAGUGUUAUUUCGGCGAAAAUAAGAAUAGGUGUACGCCGCUGGCGGUCAUCGCCACUUCGGGCAUCUUCGGGAUUCUGUCAGCUAGAUAUUGUAAGCCAACAGCCAACUUCACACCAUGUUACCGCUCCGUGUUGAUUACUUUUUACUUUUCUCAGCGUCCUGGUUUGAAACUCAAGAACAUUAUUACAUUGCAACCUUUUCAGAAAAUAUUAGUUGUAAAUAAUCUUUGUGGAUAACGUAUGCAUUUGUUCGUGUUAUAAAUGUGAAAUACUUCGUGAUCGUUGUGUUAAUUGAAGAUCACAUGCUGUAACCUAUACCGGCAUCGUUUGAUUGUGAAGCAUUUAUAAAAAUUCUUCGGGAUCGGCUCGACCAAUACUUCCACGGGAUUCGAGGAUACGUCGUACUACUUUUUAAAAGAUUUUGUGUACAUUCAUCACUGCUGAGGCUUCUCCCCUUUGUUUAGUUGUUGUGCUAGCUGGGGGUUGAUGGGCUUACUUGAGUGGAAGAAGAUGAAAGAAUUUCAGUCUUUACAGCGCUCCUGAUCACCACAGAUUUCAGUGAUCUCACACAUGCACGCGGGUUUUGUGAUAACUACUCAUAAAAAACUGCAAAAUUUAUUAUCAGUAUGUGGAUAUAGUUUCUGGUCAAUAAGACUUUCAUGAUAUGAAGAUAUUCAUUCCCAUUCCUGCGCAAAAUGAGUUGAAGCAUUGGACCUAGGAAUUUUUGUUUGAACGAUGCCAUUUCGGCAUAUCAUCUUACAGGGAAGUAUUUCAAGGGGCUCAUGGGUGAGUAAGAUUUUUUAUUUGAGAGAUUUUAUUCUUACAUGUUGUAUUAACUGCCUCUUGUUAAAGCAGUGAUGGCUACUGGAAAGGGAUAUCAUAAAAAUAAUAGUCUCUUCAUUUGUGACAUUAUUGGUACAAUUUAUUGGUAACAACUACACAUCGUCGAAUGAGCUAAAAGUAAAUUAUAAGUCUUUUCCAUUACAGAGAGUUCUGUUCACUACACGGCUAGUUGAAACAUCUUCAUUAAUAUUCAGAUUAGUCUGACGUUGAACCAAAAGUGUAUGGCUAUGACCCCUGAUGUCGGAUUUUGUUGCAAGGGAAAAAUUCCAUGUUACACAUACAGAUUUAUUCUUAAAGAUAUCAGGAAGUUCUGAAUUUGAUACUACAGAUUCUUUCUCAUUGACCGAGGUAAACGAGGAGGGUCUACAACUGAUCAUAAACACUAAUGUUUUCUCGAAUUUUCUCACAUGAUGUGAUUUAUAUUUCUGCAUAUUCGAAUUUUAUGUUGAUACAACAUGAAAAGCCGAAAAAAAAAGACAAAUUCAGGGAAACCCAUAGUAACUUUUUUUAAGUACUCAUAACAUCCUCCUUAUUUAAAAAGAGUUGAACUAUAAUUAGUCUGACAAGUUUACACAAUUAUCUUAACUCUUAAUAACAAGUUUUGGACAACUUAACGGGUUAGCUGGGUUUAAGAAAUUCGAAUAAAAAGAUUUAUCAUAUAUUUUAUUUAAACGAUUCAGUAUAUCAAAGAUACAUAUUUAAACAUUAUUUUGUGAAAUAUUCCGAAAACUCAGCUGUUACCCAUCUCUCUUGACAUCGCAAUAAAAAUGCUCUUACCGUGGACAGCAUAUCUCGUUAUUGGUUAAUCUUAAAUCAAAAAACAAGAAAUAGUUCGUCAGUACACGCAUAAAUCUCGUUAUUGGACGAAUAAAAAAAAAUGGAAUUUGAAUUUUCGACAGACUUAGAACAAAAAAAAAACAUAUUUUUUUGUCAAAUUUUUGCCAUGUAUUGGCUCGAAAAAAAUUAGUUGUAGUUGAGAAAAUAAAAUCCUUCGUUUAUUUACUUGAUCUUGAUCAAUGAAAGAGCGGUUUUCCACUGGUCAUGAGGUGAUUAUUUUCAAGAUGUUAAUUACACACAAAAUUGAAGGCCCUUGAAAGGGGAAAAAUGUGGAUUUGGCCCGUCGCGCGAAGGUUCAGGUCUUGAA